RNAcentral lists this ribosomal RNA (429 nucleotides) under uncultured archaeon. Its description in RNAcentral is "bacterial SSU rRNA". It matches the Rfam family "Archaeal small subunit ribosomal RNA", at positions 474 to 903 of the family's 1478-position model. The record is from RNAcentral.
UACCAGCUCUCCGAGUGGUGGGGAUGCUUAUUGGGCCUAAAGCAUUCGUAGCCGGCUGGGCAAGUCCUCCGUUAAAUCCAGCGAUUCAAUCGUUGGACUGCAGGGGAUACUGUCCGGCUAGGGGGCGGAAGAGGCCGACGGUAUUCUCGGGGUAGGGGCGAAAUCCUAUAAUCCCGGGAGGACCACCAGUGGCGAAGGCUGUCGGCUAGAACGCGCCCGACGGUGAGGGAUGAAAGCUGGGGGAGCGAACCGGAUUAGAUACCCGGGUAGUCCCAGCUGUAAACUAUGCAGGCUAGGUGUUGGCGCGGCUACGUGCCGCUCCAGUGCCGCAAGGAAGCCGUUAAGCCUGCCGCCUGGGAAGUACGGCCGCAAGGCUGAAACUUAAAGGAAUUGGCGGGGGAGCACCACAAGGGGUGAAGCUUGCGGUUU